CAGUAGCCGCGGGAAUACGGAGGGGGCUAGCGUUGUUCGGAAUUACCGGGCGUAAAGCGCACGUAGGCUGCUUUGUAAGUCAGAGGUGAAAUCCCGGGGCUCAACCUCGGAACUGCCUUUGAUACUGGCGACCUUGAGGAUGGGAGAGGUAAGCGGAACUCCGAGUGUAGAGGUGAAAUUCGUAGAUAUUCGGAAGAACACCAGUGGCGAAGGCGGCUUACUGGCCCAUUACUGACGCUGAGGCUCGAAAGCUAGGGGAGCAAAUGGGAUUAGAUACCCCCGUAGUCCCUGUCUCUUAUAC
Molecule: ribosomal RNA, 301 nt
Filed under: uncultured bacterium
Lineage: Bacteria
Description: partial 16S ribosomal RNA
Rfam family: Bacterial small subunit ribosomal RNA
Source: RNAcentral